This 492-nucleotide ribosomal RNA is filed under the name Shigella sonnei. RNAcentral describes it as "bacterial SSU rRNA". It matches the Rfam family "Bacterial small subunit ribosomal RNA", at positions 89 to 577 of the family's 1533-position model. The record is from RNAcentral. Lineage: Bacteria; Pseudomonadati; Pseudomonadota; Gammaproteobacteria; Enterobacterales; Enterobacteriaceae.
UGACGAGUGGCGGACGGGUGAGUAAUGUCUGGGAAACUGCCUGAUGGAGGGGGAUAACUACUGGAAACGGUAGCUAAUACCGCAUAACGUCGCAAGACCAAAGAGGGGGACCUUCGGGCCUCUUGCCAUCGGAUGUGCCCAGAUGGGAUUAGCUAGUAGGUGGGGUAACGGCUCACCUAGGCGACGAUCCCUAGCUGGUCUGAGAGGAUGACCAGCCACACUGGAACUGAGACACGGUCCAGACUCCUACGGGAGGCAGCAGUGGGGAAUAUUGCACAAUGGGCGCAAGCCUGAUGCAGCCAUGCCGCGUGUAUGAAGAAGGCCUUCGGGUUGUAAAGUACUUUCAGCGGGGAGGAAGGGAGUAAAGUUAAUACCUUUGCUCAUUGACGUUACCCGCAGAAGAAGCACCGGCUAACUCCGUGCCAGCAGCCGCGGUAAUACGGAGGGUGCAAGCGUUAAUCGGAAUUACUGGGCGUAAAGCGCACGCAGGCG